Molecule: ribosomal RNA, 1542 nt
Filed under: Serratia proteamaculans
Lineage: Bacteria; Pseudomonadati; Pseudomonadota; Gammaproteobacteria; Enterobacterales; Yersiniaceae
Description: bacterial SSU rRNA
Rfam family: Bacterial small subunit ribosomal RNA
Source: RNAcentral
AAUUGAAGAGUUUGAUCAUGGCUCAGAUUGAACGCUGGCGGCAGGCCUAACACAUGCAAGUCGAGCGGUAGCACAGGAGAGCUUGCUCUCUGGGUGACGAGCGGCGGACGGGUGAGUAAUGUCUGGGAAACUGCCUGAUGGAGGGGGAUAACUACUGGAAACGGUAGCUAAUACCGCAUAACGUCUUCGGACCAAAGUGGGGGACCUUCGGGCCUCACGCCAUCAGAUGUGCCCAGAUGGGAUUAGCUAGUAGGUGGGGUAAUGGCUCACCUAGGCGACGAUCCCUAGCUGGUCUGAGAGGAUGACCAGCCACACUGGAACUGAGACACGGUCCAGACUCCUACGGGAGGCAGCAGUGGGGAAUAUUGCACAAUGGGCGCAAGCCUGAUGCAGCCAUGCCGCGUGUGUGAAGAAGGCCUUCGGGUUGUAAAGCACUUUCAGCGAGGAGGAAGGGUAGUGUGUUAAUAGCACAUUGCAUUGACGUUACUCGCAGAAGAAGCACCGGCUAACUCCGUGCCAGCAGCCGCGGUAAUACGGAGGGUGCAAGCGUUAAUCGGAAUUACUGGGCGUAAAGCGCACGCAGGCGGUUUGUUAAGUCAGAUGUGAAAUCCCCGCGCUUAACGUGGGAACUGCAUUUGAAACUGGCAAGCUAGAGUCUUGUAGAGGGGGGUAGAAUUCCAGGUGUAGCGGUGAAAUGCGUAGAGAUCUGGAGGAAUACCGGUGGCGAAGGCGGCCCCCUGGACAAAGACUGACGCUCAGGUGCGAAAGCGUGGGGAGCAAACAGGAUUAGAUACCCUGGUAGUCCACGCUGUAAACGAUGUCGACUUGGAGGUUGUGCCCUUGAGGCGUGGCUUCCGGAGCUAACGCGUUAAGUCGACCGCCUGGGGAGUACGGCCGCAAGGUUAAAACUCAAAUGAAUUGACGGGGGCCCGCACAAGCGGUGGAGCAUGUGGUUUAAUUCGAUGCAACGCGAAGAACCUUACCUACUCUUGACAUCCACAGAAUUCGCUAGAGAUAGCUUAGUGCCUUCGGGAACUGUGAGACAGGUGCUGCAUGGCUGUCGUCAGCUCGUGUUGUGAAAUGUUGGGUUAAGUCCCGCAACGAGCGCAACCCUUAUCCUUUGUUGCCAGCACGUAAUGGUGGGAACUCAAAGGAGACUGCCGGUGAUAAACCGGAGGAAGGUGGGGAUGACGUCAAGUCAUCAUGGCCCUUACGAGUAGGGCUACACACGUGCUACAAUGGCGUAUACAAAGAGAAGCGAACUCGCGAGAGCCAGCGGACCUCAUAAAGUACGUCGUAGUCCGGAUCGGAGUCUGCAACUCGACUCCGUGAAGUCGGAAUCGCUAGUAAUCGUAGAUCAGAAUGCUACGGUGAAUACGUUCCCGGGCCUUGUACACACCGCCCGUCACACCAUGGGAGUGGGUUGCAAAAGAAGUAGGUAGCUUAACCUUCGGGAGGGCGCUUACCACUUUGUGAUUCAUGACUGGGGUGAAGUCGUAACAAGGUAACCGUAGGGGAACCUGCGGUUGGAUCACCUCCUUA